GGCAGCAGAGAGGCAGGAGUGCUGUGGAGCUGGCUUCUGCUUCUCUCCUGUCUCCAGAGGAGGCUCCUUGUCUGGUGCUGGCUCUGGCUGCAGAGCAGGCCCAUGGUGUUCUGGACAUGGAGCCGGAGCUAGGAGGAGGAAAGCUCAGCAGUGUCAGUCACUUGCCAGUUCCCUGCGGAGCAUAGAAAAGACAUCCUGGCCAUUUGGGGGAUUCCAAUGCCCAACCAAAAGCCAUGAAAGCCUUCCGGACUGCUGUGGCCCUCACCAUCUGUUUCGGCCUCGUGGGGCUCUAGAUAUUCCACCUGAGCAAGGGGAAGGCACAAGGGAGGCUCCAUGUCUGCUCCAGGGGUCAGGACGGGAGACAGCUUCAGAAGGGCACCCAGUUUCGCUGGGUUCUAAUACCAAGGAAGUGAGGUCGCAUCCUCAAAGUUUCGCUACAGUUAGGUUCACAAUCAUUUGAGGAGUGGCUACAUGUACAUAACAGAGCUUGAAGGGCCGGGGAUUUAGCUCAGUGGCACCAUGCCUGCCUCACCAGCACAAGGUCCUGAGUUCAAUCCCCGGUACCAAAAGAAAGAAAAACCAAAAAUACCAAAACAACAACAACUCAUAGUACAGCUUAUAUAUAUUACGAGUUUUAGAUUUAUAUACAAUUAAGAUGGCCACCCAGUUCUUCCAUUUCCUGUUAUUAAUGUCAUCCAUUAGUCUAGUACAUCCUGUACAAGGAGUGAGCAAAUAUUGAUGUAUAAUUACUAACUAAGAUCCACCUUCACCACUUGCUCUCCACAACAAUCUGCAGUCCCGUCCGGGCUGCCACAUUGCAUUUCAUUGUUGCAUCCCUCAGACGCCCCUUGACUGAUGUUUUCACAAGUUUUCCUUUUUUCGUUUUGUAUGAGCUGACAGUUUGGAGGAUGACUGAGCUGAUAUCUUAUAGAAUGUCCCUCAAUUUAAGUUUUCCUGAUGUUUCCUUCCUGAUUAGAUGAGGGUUACAUGUUUGGGUGCGUGGCUUUCUGCAGGUGUUCCAUGUUCCUGACUGCACCCUCAUCCUGGGUUCUCCAGUGCACCUUUGGCUUAACUCUCACAGCUGCAUGCACUGCCCUCUCAGGGACACCCAGCCUGGCCUGCCAGGCCUUCUUUUGAAAUUUGGGUGGAAGCCUUCCUGACUCAACUCUUGCGUUCUGCAUACCUGUGAAAACAGCACCCUGUAGAUGACACAAAGUUCUACCACUGGCUCCAAGCAGUCCUUAGGCCUUUGUGCAUCAUGGCUGCAGAAGCAUCCGCGGGCCUGGAUGGCUGAGCACUGUGAACUGAAUGAAUCCCAGGGAACCCGCCCAG
This 1332-nucleotide long non-coding RNA is filed under the name Heterocephalus glaber (naked mole-rat). RNAcentral describes it as "lncRNA (ENSHGLG00000040797.1)". Lineage: Eukaryota; Metazoa; Chordata; Mammalia; Rodentia; Bathyergidae. The record is from RNAcentral.